This 301-nucleotide ribosomal RNA is filed under the name uncultured bacterium. RNAcentral describes it as "partial 16S ribosomal RNA". It matches the Rfam family "Bacterial small subunit ribosomal RNA", at positions 509 to 809 of the family's 1533-position model. The record is from RNAcentral.
CAGUAGCCGCGGUAAUACGAAGGGGGCUAGCGUUGCUCGGAAUGACUGGGCGUAAAGGGCGCGUAGGCGGCUUGUACAGUCAGAUGUGAAAUUCCUGGGCUUAACCUGGGGGCUGCAUUUGAUACUGUCGGGCUUGAGUAUGGAAGAGGGUCGUGGAAUUCCCAGUGUAGAGGUGAAAUUCGUAGAUACUGGGAAGAACACCGGUGGCGAAGGCGGCGACCUGGUCCAUAACUGACGCUGAGGCGCGAAAGCGUGGGGAGCAAACAGGAUUAGAUACCCCAGUAGUCCCUGUCUCUUAUAA